Molecule: ribosomal RNA, 328 nt
Filed under: uncultured bacterium
Lineage: Bacteria
Description: bacterial SSU rRNA
Rfam family: Bacterial small subunit ribosomal RNA
Source: RNAcentral
GACGAACGCUGGCGGCGUGCCUAACACAUGCAAGUCGAACGGGUGUCGAGAGCUUGCUCUUGACACUUAGUGGCGAACGGGUGAGUAACGCGUGAGAAACCUGCCUCUCAGUGGGGGACAACAGUUGGAACGACUGCUAAUACCGCAUAAUGUAUCCGGAAGGCAUCUUCUGGAUACCAAAGCUUUAUGUGCUGAGAGAUGGUCUCGCGUCUGAUUAGCUAGAUGGCGGGGUAACGGCCCACCAUGGCGACGAUCAGUAGCCGGUCUGAGAGGAUGAACGGCCACAUUGGGGACUGAGAUACGGCCCAGACUCCUACGGGAGGCAGCA